RNAcentral lists this long non-coding RNA (997 nucleotides) under Arabidopsis thaliana (thale cress). Its description in RNAcentral is "ncRNA (AT5G19221)". Lineage: Eukaryota; Viridiplantae; Streptophyta; Magnoliopsida; Brassicales; Brassicaceae. The record is from RNAcentral.
CUUCAAGAUUACAGUAAUGCCAGAUCUGAUGUAAAAUCCAUCGGAUGACCUAUCUGCUUCUUGUAUUCCCUGCAAAUCAUCACAUUAGUGGAAAUGAGAUAAGCAAAAGAAGAAUUGGAAAAGAAGAAGGUAGGAAGAAAUGAAGGAAGGAAUGAGGAAACUUCACAAAUGAGAACUGUUUCUAAGGUUUCUCCUUGAUGUAUAUAUUGGUUUUGCCGCGUCGUAGAAACUAAAUGCCCCAGGCUAAAAGGUGUAGACCUUCCUCCUUGGAAAGUCCUAAAAUAGUUGUGUCUACUGCCUAAGGAUGCCCCGAGGUCGUCUCCUUUAGGUUUUUCACUGAAUGAGAUAACUCUUCCUUUGUCAUCUAUCUUCAUAAGCCCAAAAUCUGAGGCACGUCUACCAUGAAAUGCUUAUAUCCGCGCCACUCUGCCGAUGAUCCUGCAGAUUGAAGUUCAUGGCAUGAGUCUCGGAGAGUAACUACCUCUUGAUGAAGGACAUGAGCUCAAGUAAUUUUGUCUCACCUGUAUAAAAUCCAUGUAAUCCAUCCUGUAGAGGUGAUCUCCAGAAAGGAUCAAUACAUCCUCUAUGUCCUUGCUUCUUGCAUCCUAUGAAAAGAAUGUUGGACCGCUUGUCUAUUGAUGUGAUGAUAAGCUAGUUUAAGUCUGAUUUCUACCUCGAAAAGCCAAUGGAAUUGCCGAACCGCAUCUGCUGUACCUUGGAACCACCUUUUACCAGAUUCUCCUGGCGUUUGAGUGGCCGCAAGAACCUGAAUUUUUUCAAACAAUUGCCUCAGAUGCAUCAAACCAGUUUGGCUCGUAAUGGAUGAUUAAGACAGAAUAUCAAACCUCAACAUAGCCAUCUCCAAAGCCAAGUCCAUUGGAGUUGUAAGCACGGGCUAAAUGCCUGUUCAAUGAUGCUGAGUUAUAUUGUGUUAUUCAGCAAUAUUGGAAAUUUUGCAACAGAGAAGCAACUAACGGCAGGCUUGGCGCGGCGUUUU